UAGGGUCAAAGCAGUCGCUCUGAGAGAGCUCCAUACAUCCGUGUUAAAAGGGGUAUUUUCAUAGUUUGGUUAUAUUUGCGGGUCUUUACUCUCAAAAUGUUAAUAAUCAUCUCUUCCAACUAGAAAUUGAAGCUUCAAGCGUGAGCGGAUUCUGCGAUUAUUUAAAAGCGAGUUGUGCGCCAGCCAGGAGAGAGAACAUUACAAACCUGUUUCGGACGUGCGCCAGCCGGGGAGAAUUCAAGCCUGAAGAAGAGGUGCUAGAACCAGUGCAGACCUCUCCUUCAUUCAAACCUUCGGGGGGUUGGAGGCAACCAUUGACGCCCAAGGAUAGAUCCCUACCUGCGUUCUUUGCCAGGAGACAUCGAGCAGCUCCCGGAGAAGGAGGACACCUGUUGACUGGUGCUCAAACAACCUCCAGAUCCAGACCUCAUUUAGCACAUUCAUCACAGCUGAACUGG
Thalassophryne amazonica is the source of this 458-nucleotide long non-coding RNA. RefSeq lists it as uncharacterized. The record is from RefSeq and is a predicted model, not a curated record. NCBI's taxonomy places the organism in Eukaryota, Metazoa, Chordata, Actinopteri, Batrachoidiformes, Batrachoididae. The transcript has 6 exons.